UCCCUGGCGGUCCAGUUGGCUAAGACUCUGUGCUCCCAAUGCAGAGGGUUCAGGUUCGAACCCUGGUCAGGGAA
RNAcentral lists this transfer RNA (74 nucleotides) under Bos taurus (domestic cattle). It matches the Rfam family "tRNA". From Rfam's summary of the family: Transfer RNA (tRNA) molecules are approximately 80 nucleotides in length. Their secondary structure includes four short double-helical elements and three loops (D, anti-codon, and T loops). Lineage: Eukaryota; Metazoa; Chordata; Mammalia; Artiodactyla; Bovidae. The record is from Rfam by way of RNAcentral. RNAcentral also lists the same sequence under 1 other name.